CCCAAAGACAUUCAACUCGCCAG
RNAcentral lists this unclassified non-coding RNA (23 nucleotides) under synthetic construct. RNAcentral's name for it is "h3f3a sgRNA". The record is from RNAcentral.